This 450-nucleotide ribosomal RNA is filed under the name uncultured bacterium. RNAcentral describes it as "partial 16S ribosomal RNA". It matches the Rfam family "Bacterial small subunit ribosomal RNA", at positions 338 to 795 of the family's 1533-position model. The record is from RNAcentral.
CCUACGGGUGGCUGCAGUCGAGAAUCUUCGGCAAUGGGCGCAAGCCUGACCGAGCGACGCCGCGUGCGGGAUGAAGGCCUUCGGGUUGUAAACCGCUGUCGUAGGGGAGGAAGAUCCUGUGCAGAACAGGGUUUGACCGAUCCUAGGAGGAAGGGCCGGCUAAUCUCGUGCCAGCAGCCGCGGUAAUACGAGAGGCCCAAACGUUAUUCGGAAUUACAAGACUUAGAGGGUUCGAUGAAGACAAGGAAAGGAAAGCCCUCGGCUCAACCGAGGAAGUGCGCUCUGAACUGUCGUGCUUGAGGAAUCUAGAGGUGAGCGGAACUGAUGGUGGAGCGGUGAAAUGCGUUGAUAUCAUCAGGAACACCGGAGGCGAAGGCGGCUCACUGGGGAUUUUCUGACGCUGAGGAACGAAAGCCAGGGUAGCGAACGGGAUUAGAUACCCUAGUAGUC